Anser brachyrhynchus (Pink-footed goose) is the source of this 2153-nucleotide long non-coding RNA. Lineage: Eukaryota; Metazoa; Chordata; Aves; Anseriformes; Anatidae. The record is from Ensembl.
UGCCUUCAAGUUGUUUGCCUUCUUAACCCAGACAUCUUAAGCAUUUCCAAGGAAUUAAAUUACUGUCCCGUGACAGUAAGGUUUUACUGAUGCUUAUGUUGCGUGUUGUCCCAAAACAGAACUGAUGUUAGAGAUAGUUUGAGUGUGCUCUGACAUCUGGAAAAAGUUAUACUGAAGCCUGGCUGCAGUUCAGUUCUUUACCUUUUAGGACAAGCCUCUUGCAUUUGAUCUGGGCUGGAAAUUCUCAAAAGCAGCUUUGGAGAUGUUUUGAUGUGCAUGUGUAGAGAAGGAUGUAAGAGAAAAUGCAAGAGGAUCUCAUCUGAAUUCUGCUGAGUGGCAAAGAAGGCAUCUAAUGUCGGUGGAGAGGUUAAGUAGGCUUGUCAGUGUGAGGUAGUAGUCACAUCUUUGAAUGUGUAUCCAUAUUCUGUAGGCAAACAAUUUGUUGACUGCCUGAAGGGAAGACUGAGGGAAGGUUUGUACUGGCUCCUGAUACCCCACACACAGCGUGAAAGCGCUUCCCAAGGAAGGAACUAGCUUUUCUCUGAGCAGAAGCGGAAAAGCUGCUUACAGUCCUCUCAGCCUUGCUUCAGAGUUUAUGGAAAGUGUUGGCCUUGCUUGCUUACCUCUCACAAGUGGAAACAGGCCGGCCAUCUGCGGGAGCGGUCUUAUUUAGUGGAAACUGCCUCACGUAAGAAGAGGGGGCUGGUCCCACAAAGGUGUGGGUUUGUUGACAUCUGCUCUCUUUCUGUGUGAUUGGAGGGUGCUUGGAAGGUGUGGUCUCAUCUGCAUCAUGCCUCCACCGCCUUUGGCACAGCCAAAUUCAGCCCUGCCUGAGGCUGUAAAAGGAGGGGACUGCUGCAAGCAGAGUGAAAGCGACCAUGUGAAAAAAAAAAUUACUCUUUUCCUCCUCUGUUUCUUCAGUGUAUGCAUUCCUGCUGGUAUGUACCUGAAAAGAGAUGGCCACAUUCCUGGGAAGAGGGCUUUGGGUCUGUGUAGGGCAAGCAGAAGUGCACAAAAAUGGUUGCCUGCCAGUCCGCUGCAGGAGGAAAAUAGCCUGGCAUUGUGUCACUGGAGUGCAGACAGGCAGGAGAGCCAGAAGAUUUGUCGUCAGGAACCCUCGCACGUACUCUGGGGCGGCAGCUCAAGUUUUUAAGUUACACGUACGUAUUGCACAACUUCUGAAGACAAGAAGUCCUCCAGAUGAUGCAAGCUGAGUGAGUGAUAUGUUCUGAGGAUGCCAGUGUAAAUUUACCCUUUUACACCUGAGGAGCUGACUGGUUUAAGCUGCCAUCUCAGAAGCUGUGUGAGUUAGCCCACACUGUGUGCUGUGCUGUUCUGUUUGCCCAGAGCCAGGCGAGGCUGUCUGAAUAAGGCUUGUGAAUCUCUACAGUGCCCUGCAUUCACGGCUGAGACUGCAGCAAGAGCCAUAUGCCUCAUUUUUAAAAUUGGCCUAGGUUCCAAAACACAAGGGUGCUUUGUAAAAUUUUUUGGCUUCCUGAUCUUCUUGAACUUUCUUCCUCAGACCUAGCUUCCCUCCUUCAUCCCCACCAUUGCACCCAAACAAAUACUCUGGUUAGACCUACGUGGGCAAGUGAGGGUGCCUGCCCCAAUGGCAGCUCUCAUGAGCAGAGCAGCCCUUCCACCUCCUCUGAAUGGUAUGACAGUCCCUGGCUAAUGCACAUGCACCAGAAUUGUGUUUCUCCUGUCAGAGGAAAAGAUGUCAAGCUUAUAACUGAAGGAAAAAGCUAUCUAAAGGAGAUAAGAGUAUAAGAGAUGUUACUGCAGUUCUAUAUUUGAAAUCAGUUACGUAUGUGUGUGGUAACCCAAAUGAUGGGCGGACUGCACUUUCCCAUUACCAUAAUUACAUUUCCUUUCAUAGCUAGGGUUGGGGACACAUCCAGACAUUACAGAACACAUCAGUAGAUUUAGUGUGGCUUACUCAGUCUCCAUUUAUCAGACUAUGUCCCAAUUAUGUCACAUUUAGGAAACAGAAUAAUUUUCUGGUUAUAGCACACAAAAUUUGUGGCAUACUAAUCCUAGUCAUCCUACUGUAUGACCUUGGAGAAGUUGUUUUACUUCUCUUUGAUGGUAAAAAAAAUUAACUUGCCUCUUGGAUGGAUUUUAGUCCCGUGCCAAGUUAAAAAAAAGUCUGA